GAUGAAGAACGUAGCGAAAUGCGAUACGUAAUGUGAAUUGCAGAAUUCAGUGAAUCAUCGAAUCUUUGAACGCAUAUUGCGCUCUUUGGUAUUCCGAAGAGCAUGCUUGUUUGAGUAUCAGUAAACACCUCAACCUCUUCUUGAUUUUUCAAAAGGAGGGUGGACUUGAGCUAUCCCAACAACCUUUACCGGUCGGCGGGCGGCUUGAAAUGCAGGUGCAGCUGGACCUUUAUCUGAGCUAAAAGCAUAUCUAUUUAGUCCUCGUCAAACAGGAUUAUUACUUUUGCUGCAGCUAACAUAAAGGAUAAUUGUCCUCUUUGCUGACUGAUGCAGGAUUUUACGACACUUUAUGUGUUGUUCAACUCGAUCUCAAAUCAAGUAAGACUACCCGCUGAACUUAAGCAUAUCAAUAAGCGGAGGA
Molecule: unclassified non-coding RNA, 421 nt
Filed under: soil metagenome
Description: partial contains 5.8S ribosomal RNA, internal transcribed spacer 2, and large subunit ribosomal RNA
Rfam family: 5.8S ribosomal RNA (bases 1-120)
Source: RNAcentral